This 74-nucleotide transfer RNA is filed under the name Micromonospora pisi. RNAcentral describes it as "Micromonospora sp. GUI15 tRNA". It matches the Rfam family "tRNA". Rfam says of the family: Transfer RNA (tRNA) molecules are approximately 80 nucleotides in length. Their secondary structure includes four short double-helical elements and three loops (D, anti-codon, and T loops). Lineage: Bacteria; Bacillati; Actinomycetota; Actinomycetes; Micromonosporales; Micromonosporaceae. The record is from Rfam by way of RNAcentral.
GUCGGUGUAGCUCACGUUGGUCGAGCAGCCGCCUUGUAAGCGGCAGGACGCGGGUUCGAUUCCUGUCACCGGCU